CAACACAGUAACCCCCAUGUCCACACCGACAGCUGCAUUAAACUCUUUGACAAAGCAGUUAGUUACUUUGAUCAGAAUAAUCCAUUUGCCCUAUCUCAGGGACCUUUCACCUGAAGCUUUUUCUGAACAGGGGAGAGGGGCGGGUAGACCCAUUUGUUUGGAUGAGAGCUGUCCAUUUCUCCUAUCCCAGGCAAGCUUGCCCUGUCUCCUUCCUGUCAGCCUUUGUUAGCCUUGACCCUUUAAUCAUUUGGGAUGCUCCUAGAGACAUUAGGAUUUUAGUCUGUCCUUGAGAAAACACUGGACCCUUCCUGCUUCCCAUUUUCAUGAUGAAGGAGAAACUCUUCUACAGGAGCCAAUUUGAUGAGACGAAUUCCAGAAUUCGAGCAGUUAAAUGAGAAAUCACAUUUGCCACCUGGUCUGGAGUGGUGACAGUAUCAGCUGUAACCAUCCUGCAAUGGAAAUACCAUUCACCAGCCAUGACCAUGUGCUGGUUUUGAUCUCACCGUGGCCCUGGUAGAGCCAGCAGCUCCAGUGAAG
This 537-nucleotide long non-coding RNA is filed under the name Cricetulus griseus (Chinese hamster). RNAcentral describes it as "lncRNA (ENSCGRG00015035766.1)". The record is from RNAcentral. Lineage: Eukaryota; Metazoa; Chordata; Mammalia; Rodentia; Cricetidae.